RNAcentral lists this long non-coding RNA (535 nucleotides) under Olea europaea subsp. europaea. Lineage: Eukaryota; Viridiplantae; Streptophyta; Magnoliopsida; Lamiales; Oleaceae. The record is from RNAcentral.
CAGACUCAGAAAACAAUCAAACGAACACCGAUUUACCUUGACUCGACCCGAGACUUUCGCCUUCACUUUGGACUGUCCAAACUCUCUCAAACCCCACAAAAGAGAAGGGUGGUGGUGGUGUUAGCAAUCUACAAAGGUAUGAAGAGGAAGAAAAAUAUAUCACAAUGGUUGAAUCUCACUCACAACCUCACAUGGCUUCCUUCUCUCUCGACUACCUCUCUUCUCUCAACUCUCCUCUCCAUUGCUACAACACACACACCAAAAAUGGCUAGGAGAUAAAUACGUAUAUAUAGGUUAGUUUAGGUCACUCCAAUUGGGCCUAGGGUUCACUAAGAGGGCUACCAAUUAACCCAAACUAAUGGGCCAAUAUUCAACUCCAUAUUAAUCUCUAAAUAGUCCAACUAACCAAAUAAUAAUCCAACCCAAACCCGAGCCAUCCAAAAGUGUAGUUCAUCUCCAAGCCGAGCCAAGUCCAUGGUAUCGCCGUAUCGAUAAAUAAUCCGACAAUUGUUUUAAAUCAUCGCCCGGAUUAUUG